UGUGUCGGCCUGAUCAUCGCCCUGCCGCAUGGCAGGGAGGAAAGUCCGAACUCCAUAGGGCACCGUACUUCCUAACGGGAAGGCACCGUAUUUGCGGUGACGGCAAGUGCAACAGAAAGCAUACCAGCCGAUGAACUUGUUCAAGUUCAGGUGAUGGGUGAAAUGGUGGGGUAAGAGCCCACCAGCGUCAUGGGUGAUCAUGGCGGCUGGGUAAACCCUACGGGGAGCAAGGCCAAACAGCAUCGCACGCGCAAGCGAUAAGGUGGCCCGCCUAACAGCGAUGCGGGUAGGCUGCUAGAGGCCCGUGGUGACACUGGUCCCAGAUAGAUGAUGAUCCGUCUGGAUUCUGUACGGUGUAGCAGUCCAGAUGACAGAAUUCGGCUUACCGGCCCGCAUGACGG
RNAcentral lists this RNase P RNA (401 nucleotides) under Bacteroidota bacterium. RNAcentral describes it as "Bacteroidetes bacterium RNase P RNA component class A". It matches the Rfam family "Bacterial RNase P class A". From Rfam's summary of the family: Ribonuclease P (RNase P) is a ubiquitous endoribonuclease, found in archaea, bacteria and eukarya as well as chloroplasts and mitochondria. The record is from RNAcentral. Lineage: Bacteria; Pseudomonadati; Bacteroidota.